ACUCCUGCGGGAGGCAGCAGUGGGGAAUAUUGGACAAUGGGCGCAAGCCUGAUCCAGCCAUGCCGCGUGAGUGAUGAAGGCCCUAGGGUUGUAAAGCUCUUUCACCGGUGAAGAUAAUGACGGUAACCGGAGAAGAAGCCCCGGCUAACUUCGUGCCAGCAGCCGCGGUAAUACGAAGGGGGCUAGCGUUGUUCGGAUUUACUGGGCGUAAAGCGCACGUAGGCGGACUAUUAAGUCAGGGGUGAAAUCCCGGGGCUCAACCCCGGAACUGCCUUUGAUACUGGUAGUCUUGAGUUCGAGAGAGGUGAGUGGAAUUCCGAGUGUAGAGGUGAAAUUCGUAGAUAUUCGGAGGAACACCAGUGGCGAAGGCGGCUCACUGGCUCGAUACUGACGCUGAGGUGCGAAAGCGUGGGGAGCAAACAGGAGUAGAAACCCCUGUAGUCCCAUGA
This 449-nucleotide ribosomal RNA is filed under the name uncultured organism. Its description in RNAcentral is "partial 16S ribosomal RNA". It matches the Rfam family "Bacterial small subunit ribosomal RNA", at positions 335 to 800 of the family's 1533-position model. The record is from RNAcentral.